AUUCCUACGGGAGGCAGCAGUAGGGAAUCUUCCGCAAUGGGCGGAAGCCUGAUGCAGCAACGCCGCGUGCAGGAUGACGGCCUUCGGGUUGUAAACCGCUUUCGCCUGUGACGAAGCGUGAGUGACGGUGAUGGGUAAAGAAGCACCGGCUAACUACGUGCCAGCAGCCGCGGUGAUACGUAGGGUGCGAGCGUUGUCCGGAUUUAUUGGGCGUAAAGGGCUCGUAGGUGGUUGAUCGCGUCGGAAGUGUAAUCUUGGGGCUUAACCCUGAGCGUGCUUUCGAUACGGGUUGACUUGAGGAAGGUAGGGGAGAAUGGAAUUCCUGGUGGAGCGGUGGAAUGCGCAGAUAUCAGGAGGAACACCAGUGGCGAAGGCGGUUCUCUGGGCCUUUCCUGACGCUGAGGAGCGAAAGCGUGGGGAGCGAACAGGCUUAGAUACCCUGGUAGUCCACGCUGUAAACGGUGGGUACUAGGUGUGGGGUCCAUUCCACGGGUUCCGUGCCGUAGCUAACGCUUUAAGUACCCCGCCUGGGGAGUACGGCCGCAAGGCUAAAACUCAAAGGAAUUGACGGAAU
This 574-nucleotide ribosomal RNA is filed under the name uncultured bacterium. Its description in RNAcentral is "bacterial SSU rRNA". It matches the Rfam family "Bacterial small subunit ribosomal RNA", at positions 335 to 919 of the family's 1533-position model. The record is from RNAcentral.